Molecule: unclassified non-coding RNA, 231 nt
Filed under: plant metagenome
Description: partial contains small subunit ribosomal RNA, internal transcribed spacer 1, and 5.8S ribosomal RNA
Source: RNAcentral
UCUCCGUUGGUGAACCAGCGGAGGGAUCAUUACAGAGUUGCAAAACUCCCAAACCAUUGUGAACGUUACCCCUCCCGUUGCUUCGGCGGGCGGCCCGGGCCCCGCGCCCGGCGCCCCCCGGCCCCCCGUGGGCGCCCGCCGGAGGUAAACCAAACCCUUGGAUUGCAUGGCCUCUCUGAGUCUUCUGUACUGAAUAAGUCAAAACUUUCAACAACGGAUCUCUUGGUUCUG